GCGUACGUAGUUUAAAUUAGUAAAAUAGGUACUUGAAAAGUAUCAGAUAGGGUUCUCGUAGGCA
RNAcentral lists this transfer RNA (64 nucleotides) under Phallusia fumigata. Its description in RNAcentral is "transfer RNA-Phe". The record is from RNAcentral. Lineage: Eukaryota; Metazoa; Chordata; Ascidiacea; Phlebobranchia; Ascidiidae.